AUUAAUUUAAUUUGUUAAAAUUCGUGUUGGAUUAAAGUUCUGCGGCAAAAUGCGAACACUGUUGGUGUUAAAGGAAAAACUUCUAAGCAUGCAGUGUCAGGUACAGCGCGCAUGAGACGAGGAGCAGGUAAAUGAAGCAACGAAUAGAAAGGAUGUGGACGUCAGGAGUUUGACAAGUCGCAGGGAAGAGGCACGAAUGAGACGCGGCAGUGUUUACAGUGUGAGCGAGGGCGUGGAGCGGUGCGGUUGUGCUAGGUAGCGCGGGUGGGGGCGCGGGUGCGAGUGCGAGUGCGG
This is a long non-coding RNA of Papilio machaon (common yellow swallowtail), 294 nucleotides long. RefSeq lists it as uncharacterized. The transcript is spliced from 3 exons. The record is from RefSeq and is a predicted model, not a curated record. Lineage: Eukaryota; Metazoa; Arthropoda; Insecta; Lepidoptera; Papilionidae.